This 238-nucleotide ribosomal RNA is filed under the name uncultured bacterium. RNAcentral describes it as "partial 16S ribosomal RNA". It matches the Rfam family "Bacterial small subunit ribosomal RNA", at positions 105 to 334 of the family's 1533-position model. The record is from RNAcentral.
CCGGCACGGUGAGUAACACGUAUCCAACCUGCCGUCUACUCUUGGCCAGCCUUCUGAAAGGAAGAUUAAUCCAGGAUGGCAUCAUGAGUUCACAUGUCCGCAUGAUUAAAGGUAUUUUCCGGUAGACGAUGGGGAUGCGUUCCAUUAGAUAGUAGGCGGGGUAACGGCCCACCUAGUCAACGAUGGAUAGGGGUUCUGAGAGGAAGGUCCCCCACAUUGGAACUGAGACACGGUCCAA